AUAGCUCAGACUGAAAACCUUCGGGAAUGUGGUCUGCAGAUGAGACAUCGAAUCUUCGGAAGCUGAUAAAGUGGUCUGGAAUGACCCGCCGUGGAGGGUGACAGCCCCGUUCGUAUCAGUGGAAAGAGUAAGUAGAUGCUUAUCAACGAGUCGAGUUGUUUGGGAUUGCAGCUCAAAGCGGGAGGUAAAUUCCUUCUAAAGCUAAAUAUCGAUAGGAGACCGAUAGCAAA
Molecule: ribosomal RNA, 230 nt
Filed under: Ochrophyta sp.
Lineage: Eukaryota
Description: partial large subunit ribosomal RNA
Rfam family: Eukaryotic large subunit ribosomal RNA
Source: RNAcentral